CCUACGGGGGGCUGCAGUAGGGAAUAUUGGGCAAUGGAGGCAACUCUGACGCAGCAACGCCGCGUGAGUGAAGAAGGUUUUCGGAUUGUAAAGCCCUUUUGUAAGAGAAGAUUAUGACGGUAUCUGAUAAAUAAGCACCGGCUAACUUCGUGCCAGCAGCCGCGGUAAUACGGAGGGUGCAAGCGUUUCUCGGAAUCACUGGGCGUAAAGGGUGCGUAGGCGGGUUAGUAAGUCAGUGGUGAAAUCCUGGAGCUUAACUACGGAAAUGCUGUUGUAACUGUUACACUUGAAUGACAGAGAGGAUAGUGGAAUUCUUGGUGUAGAGGUGAAAUCCGUAGAUAUAAGGAGGAACAC
This 354-nucleotide ribosomal RNA is filed under the name uncultured bacterium. RNAcentral describes it as "partial 16S ribosomal RNA". It matches the Rfam family "Bacterial small subunit ribosomal RNA", at positions 338 to 709 of the family's 1533-position model. The record is from RNAcentral.